CUACAGUAAUGCAGAUACUGCUUCCAGAAUCAAAGCUGCUUUGGGUAUCUAUAAAGCAGUGAAGGCAUAUCCUUACUAGGGAGGAUCCAUUGAGCACAUGAACGACGAUUGGAAGAAUCAGUUUUGUUGGUGCUGUGUUCACUGCUCAAUUAGUCACCAGCAAGCACAGAAAGAUUGAUGGAAACGGGGCCGGACACAGGCAUGGGCAAACUGGGUGGCCGCCUGGGACCCGGACAGGAAGGGGGCCUGAAGAUGGUAAGUUUGUUAUUAUUAUGAUCGUUAUUUCUUGCAAAGGGGGGCCUGAUACUAAAAGUUCACC
RNAcentral lists this long non-coding RNA (319 nucleotides) under Crocodylus porosus (Australian saltwater crocodile). RNAcentral's name for it is "lncRNA (ENSCPRG00005018460.1)". The record is from RNAcentral. Lineage: Eukaryota; Metazoa; Chordata; Crocodylia; Crocodylidae.